This 339-nucleotide unclassified non-coding RNA is filed under the name soil metagenome. RNAcentral's name for it is "partial contains 5.8S ribosomal RNA, internal transcribed spacer 2, and large subunit ribosomal RNA". The stretch from base 1 to 120 matches the Rfam family "5.8S ribosomal RNA", at positions 35 to 154 of the family's 154-position model. The record is from RNAcentral.
GAUGAAGAACGUAGCGAAAUGCGAUAAGUAGUGUGAAUUGCAGAAUUCAGUGAAUCAUCGAAUCUUUGAACGCACAUUGCGCCCCUUGGUAUUCCAUGGGGCAUGCCUGUUCGAGCGUCAUUUGUACCUUCAAGCUCUGCUUGGUGUUGGGUGUUUGUCUCGCCUCUGCGCGCAGACUCGCCUCAAAACGAUUGGCAGCCGGCGUAUUGAUUUCGGAGCGCAGUACAUCUCGCGCUUUGACAACAAAACGACGACGUCCAAAAAGUACAUUUUUUACACUCUUGACCUCGGAUCAGGUAGGGAUACCCGCUGAACUUAAGCAUAUCAAUAAGCGGAGGA